GUAAUACGUAGAAGACUAGUGUUAUUCAUGUUUAAUCGGUUUAAAGGGUACCUAGACGGUAGAUCAAGCUUUCUAAUAAAGGAAAAGGACUAAUUUACUAGAGUUACUUAUGAGGGGGUAUUAAAGUACUGCUGGUGUAGAGAUGAAAUUCUGUCAUACCUCUUUUCAAAAGAAAAACCAUGGCACAGGUAUAGGCGAAGGCAUCCCCUUAUGUGAUAACUGACGUUGAGGGACGAAGGCUUUGUGUAGCGAACAGGAUUAGAUACCCCAGUAGUCGAAGCAGAAAAUGAUGAAUGUCAUAGAUUAGAUAUAUAAGUUUAUUCUAUAAAUGAAAGUGUAAGCAUUCCACCUCAUGAGUAAUUUGGCAACAUUGGAACUGAAAUCAUUAGACCGUUUCUGAAACCAGUAGUGAAGUAUGUUGUUUAAUUUGAUGAUCCGCAAAAAACCUUACCACAAUUUGAAUAUUUAUAUUAUUUAUUGUUUUAUUAUUAAUAUUCUUCAUUUUCAUCAGAAAAAGAAGAAUAUUAAUAAUAAGGCAAUAAGAUAUAUUUACAAGCGUUGCACGGCUGUCUUCAGUUAAUGUCGCGAGACUUUGGUUAGUUCCAUUAAAUUAACGUAAACCCUUACUUUAUUUUUAUAUAGAGUA
Molecule: ribosomal RNA, 646 nt
Filed under: Xanthoparmelia sp.
Lineage: Eukaryota; Fungi; Ascomycota; Lecanoromycetes; Lecanorales; Parmeliaceae
Description: SSU rRNA
Rfam family: Bacterial small subunit ribosomal RNA
Source: RNAcentral